UUAGAAGCAGCCAUCAUUUAAAGAAAGCGUAAUAGCUCACUGGUCGAGUCGGCCUGCGCGGAAGAUGUAACGGGGCUAAACCAUGCACCGAAGCUGCGGCAGCGACACUAUGUGUUGUUGGGUAGGGGAGCGUUCUGUAAGCCUGUGAAGGUGUGCUGUGAGGCAUGCUGGAGGUAUCAGAAGUGCGAAUGCUGACAUAAGUAACGAUAAAGCGGGUGAAAAGCCCGCUCGCCGGAAGACCAAGGGUUCCUGUCCAACGUUAAUCGGGGCAGGGUGAGUCGACCCCUAAGGCGAGGCCGAAAGGCGUAGUCGAUGGGAAACAGGUUAAUAUUCCUGUACUUGGUGUUACUGCGAAGGGGGGACGGAGAAGGCUAUGUUGGCCGGGCGACGGUUGUCCCGGUUUAAGCGUGUAGGCUGGUUUUCCAGGCAAAUCCGGAAAACCAAGGCUGAGGCGUGAUGACGAGGCACUACGGUGCUGAAGCGACAAAUGCCCUGCUUCCAGGAAAAGCCUCUAAGCAUCAGGUAACAUCAAAUCGUACCCCAAACCGACACAGGUGGUCAGGUAGAGAAUACCAAGGCGCUUGAGAGAACUCGGGUGAAGGAACUAGGCAAAAUGGUGCCGUAACUUCGGGAGAAGGCACGCUGAUAUGUAGGUGAAGCGACUUGCUCGUGGAGCUGAAAUCAGUCGAAGAUACCAGCUGGCUGCAACUGUUUAUUAAAAACACAGCACUGUGCAAACACGAAAGUGGACGUAUACGGUGUGACGCCUGCCCGGUGCCGGAAGGUUAAUUGAUGGGGUUAGCGGUAACGCGAAGCUCUUGAUCGAAGCCCCGGUAAACGGCGGCCGUAACUAUAACGGUCCUAAGGUAGCGAAAUUCCUUGUCGGGUAAGUUCCGACCUGCACGAAUGGCGUAAUGAUGGCCAGGCUGUCUCCACCCGAGACUCAGUGAAAUUGAACUCGCUGUGAAGAUGCAGUGUACCCGCGGCAAGACGGAAAGACCCCGUGAACCUUUACUAUAGCUUGACACUGAACAUUGAGCCUUGAUGUGUAGGAUAGGUGGGAGGCUUUGAAGUGUGGACGCCAGUCUGCAUGGAGCCGGCCUUGAAAUACCACCCUUUAAUGUUUGAUGUUCUAACGUUGGCCCGUAAUCCGGGUUGCGGACAGUGUCUGGUGGGUAGUUUGACUGGGGCGGUCUCCUCCUAAAGAGUAACGGAGGAGCACGAAGGUUGGCUAAUCCUGGUCGGACAUCAGGAGGUUAG
This 1260-nucleotide ribosomal RNA is filed under the name Escherichia coli. RNAcentral describes it as "bacterial LSU rRNA". It matches the Rfam family "Bacterial large subunit ribosomal RNA", at positions 1106 to 2349 of the family's 2925-position model. Lineage: Bacteria; Pseudomonadati; Pseudomonadota; Gammaproteobacteria; Enterobacterales; Enterobacteriaceae. The record is from RNAcentral.